GGGUCAGUAGGUUGGUCGUGCCACCGGUACGUACUGGUCUCACUGAUUCCUCCCUCCUGAAGAACCGUAAUGCCAUUAAUUUGGUGUUGCGGGGAAACAGGACUGUUACUUAGAAAAAAUUAGAGUGUUUAAAGCAAGCUAACGCUUGAAUACAUUAGCAUGGAAUAAUGAAAUAGGACGAUCGAUCCUAUUUUGUUGGUUUCUAGGAUUGACGUA
RNAcentral lists this ribosomal RNA (216 nucleotides) under Glomeromycotina sp. RNAcentral's name for it is "partial small subunit ribosomal RNA". The stretch from base 75 to 216 matches the Rfam family "Eukaryotic small subunit ribosomal RNA", at positions 721 to 864 of the family's 1831-position model. Lineage: Eukaryota; Fungi; Glomeromycota. The record is from RNAcentral.